CAAUAGCGUAUAUUUAAGUUGCUGCAUUUAAAAAGCUCGUAGUUGGAUUUCGGGUGGGAAUGGCCGGUCCGCCGUUUCGGUGUGCACUUGCUACGCCCACCUUGCUGCCGGGGACGUGCUCUUGAGUUCACGCUCGGGACACGGAGUCGGCGAGGUUACUUUGAGUAAAUUAGAGUGUUCAAAGCAGGCCUACGCUCUGAAUACAUUAGCAUGGAAUAACACGAUAGGACUCUGGCCUAUCUUGUUGGUCUGUAGGACCGGAGUAAUGAUUAAGAGGGACAGUCGGGGGCAUUCGUAUUUCAUUGUCAGAGGUGAAAUUCUUGGAUUUAUGAAAGACGAACUACUGCGAAAGCAUUUGCCAAGGAUGUUUUCAUUAA
RNAcentral lists this ribosomal RNA (377 nucleotides) under uncultured eukaryote. RNAcentral describes it as "partial 18S ribosomal RNA". It matches the Rfam family "Eukaryotic small subunit ribosomal RNA", at positions 592 to 976 of the family's 1831-position model. The record is from RNAcentral.